Molecule: ribosomal RNA, 490 nt
Filed under: uncultured bacterium
Lineage: Bacteria
Description: partial 16S ribosomal RNA
Rfam family: Bacterial small subunit ribosomal RNA
Source: RNAcentral
AUUGAACGCUGGCGGCAGGCCUAACACAUGCCAGUCGAACGGUAACAGGAAGCAGCUUGCUGCUUUGCUGACGAGUGGCGGACGGGUGAGUAAUGUCUGGGAAACUGCCCGAUGGAGGGGGAUAACUACUGGAAACGGUAGCUAAUACCGCAUAACGUCGCAAGACCAAAGAGGGGGACCUUAGGGCCUCUUGCCAUCGGAUGUGCCCAGAUGGGAUUAGCUAGUAGGUGGGGUAACGGCUCACCUAGGCGACGAUCCCUAGCUGGUCUGAGAGGAUGACCAGCCACACUGGAACUGAGACACGGUCCAGACUCCUACGGGAGGCAGCAGUGGGGAAUAUUGCACAAUGGGCGCAAGCCUGGUGCAGCCAUGCCGCGUGUAUGAAGAAGGCCUUCGGGUUGUAAAGUACUUUCAGCGGGGAGGAAGGGAGUAAAGUUAAUACCUUUGCUCAUUGACGUUACCCGCAGAAGAAGCACCGGCUAACUCCGUG